RNAcentral lists this long non-coding RNA (1683 nucleotides) under Gallus gallus (chicken). Lineage: Eukaryota; Metazoa; Chordata; Aves; Galliformes; Phasianidae. The record is from RNAcentral.
UGGCUGCUUAUGUAUCCAAGAAAAACACAAAGACUUUUUUUUUCUUUUCCAACUGUUGUUGUUACCACUUGGGUACAGGAAGGCUCUCGCGAUAAACAAAUGUGCUACAGAAUCCAGAAUAUUUCAAACAUAGGAAUUAAUAACACCCAGCAAAACACUAAGACCCAAAUGCACUCCCAAGGUGGACUCCAGUAUUUCACAGCGUGGUUCUUGUGCUCCAAAUGAAGCUCACACGCUAAGCCCCCUCCAUCUGGAAACAGAAACUGUGGGUCACAGGCGUUUCCACAGUUAUAUUGUCCAAGGGGCACUAUUUCUUCUUGAGAGCUCUCUUUCCUUCGCCCUUCUUUGGUUUUUCCUUUCCACGGAGCUUUUUCAAUCGCCUCAUCUCCUCUUUGAAGUCUUGAUGCUCAUCUCUGUAGAGACCAAGAAAACGGAGUUUCUUCAUGAGGGCAUAGUAAGUGUUGUGAGGAGGAUACCAGUCGUACACCUCUUUCCUUCUGGCUAUGGGCUGCUCACUGAAUAACUUUACAACUUUCAUGGAUUUGGAGUCAGUUGGCCUGACAACUUCGCCAAAUAUCUGAGCACUCAGACGGGCCAUUCGAAGGGCAUAACUGGAAACGUUGGACAUUUCCCAAAGAUGAGUGGGCACACAUAGACAGUUGGACCUUCCAGCGGGCAGAGCGGGCCGGAAAGCGGAACUCAGGGCGCUCGUCACUGCGCAUGCGUGGUGCUCUUCCCGCCCCGGCGGGCGGCGCGUGACUUCUCCAGCUUUCCCGGCCGAUGAUUACGUUGUUUAAACAUAACGAAUCCCGCAAUACUUAUUCCAUAUAAACUAGAAUAACUAUAAUCUGUCAUAUAAAAUGACAGAUUUUAUGUAAAAUAUGUUUUAGAAACUUCAGUGAGACACUUCUGCUGCCUGUGUGAGGCUUUGCUCAAGACAGGUCAAGCAGAUGGAGGGAGCUGAUCCUUCCCCUCUCCUCUGCCUGACUGCAGGGAACGUGCUUUAGCGGGGGCUUGGUCUACAUGAGCUCCAGAGGGCCCUUCCAAUCCACAGUGAUUCUGUGAUUGACUAUAAUCAUUAUUUAUUUGUUUACAUAAUUACAAAGGAGAAGUGUACCGCUGCUAGUCCCACCGAGGGGGCGGCCUCUUGCAGGGCGGCUGUGGGUCCUGGUCACUGUUGGCACUCCUCUUAGGGGGCCGCCGGGCCCUCUCAGGCGAGUGGCCGGGAGCGGAGGGGCUGCUGCCCUGGGCAGAGGGACCUGCUGCUGCCGCCUGCUCCAUCUCCUCGUGCGGCCGCUCCGCUUCCCUCGCCGUGUGUGCAGCGGGGACGUGACUGGGACCCGCACGAAUGUCAGCCCCUGCUGUGCCGGGCUGCUCCUCUCUGCUGGGGCUCGAAGUGCUGCCAAAGAGUCCCGGCCUUGAUGCGAGGGUCACCUGUGGGGAGGCUGCGGGGCCAGGGGCGGCCACCCGGCUGUCCUCCUGUCCCCUGGCUGCAGGGCCCUCCUCCUGCACCCCGGGCAUGUGGGCGCCCUGCAGACCCAGCAGUCUGUGGGCCUCCUCGCUGCAUCGGCGCACGACGGUGUGAAUGAGCCUCUGGAUGAAAGUCUCCGUUUCAUCCUCCAGCGCGGGCCACAUCAGCUCUAUCAGCUCCUCUCUGUCCAGCCCGAUGUCGCACAGAGCAUC